CAGCCUGAACCGUGAAAAGGAAAAGAUGUGGAGGCUAGGGUUUGUGAAGAGGAGAAAGGGGAUCCAAAAGUGUUGCUCUAAAGUGUAAUUUUUCUCAAAAAUUCCAUUGAAUUUUCUUAGAGCUGCACUCAAUCCAAGGUGUCCGGGUAUGAAGAUUUAGUUGCCGUUAAUUGAGUCGGUUGUCGCUCUGAUACGUAGCACUCGGGGGGACGAUUUGUAAUAUUUAUGAUGUUGUUGUUUAUUGUGACUAUCCUGGUUUAUUAGAAUGAUAUAUUAAGUGAAGUUGCUUUAUUAAUAUGAUGUUGUUUAUGUGAUAAAGAUGUUACUUGAUUCGGAAAUUGAGAAUCUUGACUCCGCUAUUUUAUUAAUAAAAGAAGUUAUUCUGUUUUAGAAA
Molecule: long non-coding RNA, 394 nt
Organism: Vicia villosa (hairy vetch)
Lineage: Eukaryota; Viridiplantae; Streptophyta; Magnoliopsida; Fabales; Fabaceae
Exons: 2
Source: RefSeq, a predicted model, not a curated record